CGGUCUCCCGAGGACCGGUCUCCCGGGGAGAGACCGGUUCCCGAACGCGUGCGCCCGAGGGAAGCUCUCGGGGACCGGUCCCAAGUCGGGGAGACCGGUCCCUCCGCGCGAAAACUGCCCAGUGAGGGCUGUGCACAGGGGUGAAAGUUGAGGGGCUUUUAUGCAAAAUGGCCUUUAUUUGUGUGGGCUGAGCCCUCUCUCUCCCUCACACUCUCUCAUUUC
This 222-nucleotide long non-coding RNA is filed under the name Ananas comosus (pineapple). Its description in RNAcentral is "long non-coding RNA (ACOM_LNC041264)". The record is from RNAcentral. Lineage: Eukaryota; Viridiplantae; Streptophyta; Magnoliopsida; Poales; Bromeliaceae.